UACGUAGGGGGCAAGCGUUGUCCGGAUUUAUUGGGCGUAAAGAGCGUGUAGGCGGCUGGGUAGGUCCGUUGUGAAAACUCGAGGCUCAACCUCGAGACGCCGAUGGAAACCCCCUGGCUAGAGUCCGGAAGAGGAGAGUGGAAUUCCUGGUGUAGCGGUGAAAUGCGUAGAGAUCGGGAGGAACACCAGUGGCGAAGGCGGCCUUCUGGACCAGUACUGACGCUCAUGCACGAAAGCGUGGGGAGCAAACAGG
RNAcentral lists this ribosomal RNA (253 nucleotides) under uncultured bacterium. RNAcentral's name for it is "partial 16S ribosomal RNA". It matches the Rfam family "Bacterial small subunit ribosomal RNA", at positions 524 to 776 of the family's 1533-position model. The record is from RNAcentral.